This 253-nucleotide ribosomal RNA is filed under the name uncultured bacterium. Its description in RNAcentral is "partial 16S ribosomal RNA". It matches the Rfam family "Bacterial small subunit ribosomal RNA", at positions 524 to 776 of the family's 1533-position model. The record is from RNAcentral.
UACGGGGGGGGCAAGCGUUGUUCGGAAUUAUUGGGCGUAAAGGGCGUGUAGGCGGCUUGGCAAGUCUGCUGUGAAAACUCGAGGCUCAACCUCGAGCUGUCGGUGGAAACUGCUUGGCUAGAGUCCGGAAGAGGAGAGUGGAAUUCCUGGUGUAGCGGUGAAAUGCGCAGAUAUCAGGAAGAACACCUAUGGCGAAGGCAGCUCUCUGGGACGGUACUGACGCUGAGACGCGAAAGCGUGGGGAGCGAACAGG